This 224-nucleotide long non-coding RNA is filed under the name Lathyrus oleraceus (garden pea). RNAcentral describes it as "Pisum sativum (pea) long non-coding RNA (PSAT_LNC008170)". Lineage: Eukaryota; Viridiplantae; Streptophyta; Magnoliopsida; Fabales; Fabaceae. The record is from RNAcentral.
UUGACCUUCAUUUCCAUAUAAAGUUUGUGCAUUUAUCAUUUGUGGAUUGUGAGCUUUGAAUUUUUGAAGUUAUGUGUUACAUUUGUUCUAUACCAUGAUCAUGCAUUUUCCUAAUUUUCAUUGCCAUACUCCUUAUCUCCAAAUGACUUGAUUUUUUGCAUGAGCCUACUCUUGUAUGUCUAGUUUACUUGUGAAUUUUCUUGGAUUUAAUUGAACUAUUUUCC